AGUUUCACAAAUUAGCCUA
This 19-nucleotide small nuclear RNA is filed under the name Arabidopsis thaliana (thale cress). RNAcentral's name for it is "snRNA_09516". The record is from RNAcentral. Lineage: Eukaryota; Viridiplantae; Streptophyta; Magnoliopsida; Brassicales; Brassicaceae.